CAAAAGGGCGGUAUCUGGGCCGCGGAAAUAGCCUGAGGGCCGCGGAGUGAGAGCGAGCCGCCAGGAGCGGUCGUAUGGCGGCAGUGCCGCGGAGAGUGAGCUCCGCACAACCAAGGGAGCGAGAGGCCCUUGGUGCUGGUUGCCGGUGUGUGGGUGAGGGGCGUCAACGCGCGGGAUCUGCGCGGGCCGCGGGAAGCGCGCCCGUGGCGGGGGAAAAGGAGGUCGAAUCAGUAAAACGAUCUGUCGGCGGGAGCCAUUGUAGUGUCCCACUGGUAAAAUGGGGAUAACAGUUCUCCUCAGUUGCACAGAGGUGCCGUGCAGCCUGCUCCAUUCAUUCUGAG
Molecule: long non-coding RNA, 341 nt
Filed under: Gallus gallus (chicken)
Lineage: Eukaryota; Metazoa; Chordata; Aves; Galliformes; Phasianidae
Source: RNAcentral